This 380-nucleotide ribosomal RNA is filed under the name uncultured bacterium. RNAcentral's name for it is "bacterial SSU rRNA". It matches the Rfam family "Bacterial small subunit ribosomal RNA", at positions 28 to 405 of the family's 1533-position model. The record is from RNAcentral.
GACAAACGCUGGCGGCGUGCUUAACACAUGCAAGUCGAACGGUCUCACUUCGGUGAGAUAGUGGCGGACGGGUGAGUAACACGUAGAUAACCUGCCUCGUAGUGGGGAAUAACUAACCGAAAGGUUAGCUAAUACCGCAUAAGUUCUAUAUCGUUAGGUGUAGAGGAAACGCUUUUCGUCAAGAAGGGUGGCUAUGAGAGGGGUCGUGCGGCGGAUUAGCCAGUUGGUGGGGUAACGGCCUACCAAAGCAAUGAUCCGUAGCUGGUCUGAGAGGACGACCAGCCACACUGGGACUGAGACACGGCCCAGACUCCUACGGGAGGCAGCAGUGAGGAAUAUUCCACAAUGGGCGAAAGCCUGAUGGAGCGACGCCGCGUGAA